Molecule: unclassified non-coding RNA, 335 nt
Filed under: soil metagenome
Description: partial contains 5.8S ribosomal RNA, internal transcribed spacer 2, and large subunit ribosomal RNA
Rfam family: 5.8S ribosomal RNA (bases 1-120)
Source: RNAcentral
GAUGAAGAACGCAUCGAAAUGCGAUAAGUAGUGUGAAUUGCAGAAUUCAGUGAAUCAUCGAAUCUUUGAACGCACAUUGCGCCCCUUGGUAUUCCAUGGGGCAUGCCUGUUCGAGCGUCAUUUGUACCUUCAAGCUCUGCUUGGUGUUGGGUGUUUGUCCUUGCUCUAGUGGCGGGACUCGCCUUAAAGUAAUUGGCAGCCAGUGUUUUGGUUUUGAAGCGCAGCACAAGUCGCGAUUCAAGUCUAUACGCUAGUUUCCACAAGUCUUUUAUCACUUUUGACCUCGGAUCAGGUAGGGAUACCCGCUGAACUUAAGCAUAUCAAUAAGCGGAGGA